GGUCAAGGCUACGAUGGUGCCAGUGCAAUGACUGGAGCUUACGGAGGUGCUCAAAAGCGCAUGUAGUUCUUUUUGAGUUUUAGUUUAGAAAACAAUCUCUUUGCAGAUGUGACAGUUACAGGGAUGGUAAAAACAGCUUAAUUUCCAUAGCAACAUCAGGGAAACUGGGUAGAAGGUAGGAGGGCUUCAAAUACGGCAGUUCAUAUUCAAUUCUCCUUAAUUGCCGGACCCAACACAUUACGGAAAGAGAUUAACUGUAUAGGAAGCUCUGGGGACAGGUCUUCUGGAUACUGGACAGUCAAUAAAUUGGCAGAUGCAAACAGAUGAUGGUAUUUAGCAGACAAAAGUUCUUGAGGGCUUGAACAGAAAAAAAAAGAAAAAAAAGUGGUUAGCAAUUUUCGUUCAUACUGGUGAAACCGGUGUUUGAGUUGUGUGGUUGCAAAGUAGACAGUCCCCAAUCUCUGGAAUAUCUUGGCAUGCCUCAAAAUGUGUUUAACUUGUGUGAAGCGCAAUGGACAUGUAAAGCACAAUGUCUCAGGAAAGACUGUCUGAGUUGGCAACUCAGUAAUAGUAUGGACCUACAGGCCGUGGUGAAAACAUUUGCACACAAAAUAGGAGGACUUCAGGAGACCAGGCAGACUGUCAUCAUAUAGGAAGUAGAAGGGUCUGUCAGAAGGACUGUAGUUGUCGAGGAAGUCACUUGUCUGCGGGGACAAGUGACAUUUGCUACUAUCUCUUCCUGAAACUACACUGACCGUGAAUCCAAACCCUGAAUACAAUGGAGAGACAGUAACUCUGACGUGUUCAGUGGGGUCUGACAGUG
This is a long non-coding RNA of Oncorhynchus nerka (sockeye salmon), 823 nucleotides long. RefSeq lists it as uncharacterized. Lineage: Eukaryota; Metazoa; Chordata; Actinopteri; Salmoniformes; Salmonidae. The record is from RefSeq and is a predicted model, not a curated record. The transcript has 3 exons.